UGAACCUGCGGAAGGAUCAUUUU
This 23-nucleotide ribosomal RNA is filed under the name Aspergillus nomiae. RNAcentral describes it as "Aspergillus nomius partial 18S ribosomal RNA". Lineage: Eukaryota; Fungi; Ascomycota; Eurotiomycetes; Eurotiales; Aspergillaceae. The record is from RNAcentral.